AUUAGAUAAAAAGCCAAUGCCCUUCGGGGCUUUCUGGUGAUUCAUAAUAACUAAACGAAUCGCAUGGCCUUGCGCCGGCGAUGGUUAAUUCAAAUUUCUGCCCUAUCAACUUUCGAUUGUAGGAUAGAAGCCUACAAUGGUUUCAACGGGUAACGGAGAAUUAGGGUUCGGUUCCGGAGAGGGAGCCUGAGAAACGGCUACCACAUCCAAGGAAGGCAGCAGGCGCGCAAAUUACCCAAUCCCGACACGGGGAGGUAGUGACAAUAAAUACUGACACAGGGCUCUUUUGGGUCUUGUAAUUGGAAUGAGUACAAUUUAAAUCCCUUAACGAGGAACAAUUGGAGGGCAAGUCUGGUGCCAGCAGCCGCGGUAAUUCCAGCUCCAAUAGCGUAUAUUAAAGUUGUUGCAGUUAAAAAGCUCGUAGUUGAACCUUGGGUCUGGCUGGCCGGUCCGCCUCACCGCGUGCACUGGUCCGGCCGGACCUUUCCUCUUGGGGAUCCGCAUGCCCUUUGCUGGG
Molecule: ribosomal RNA, 517 nt
Filed under: uncultured fungus
Lineage: Eukaryota; Fungi
Description: SSU rRNA
Rfam family: Eukaryotic small subunit ribosomal RNA
Source: RNAcentral